CUGGACAAUUUACUAGUGUUUAAGUAAAGCAAUGGGGAAACUCUCACUUACUUAUCUGGUCAAUUUGAUUAAGCGAUCUUGAUAUUGAAAAACCCUAAUAUUGAAAAUACUAGUAGGGGCCUUCCUUCAUACUAGGUUAAUGUUACAUCAUGAACUAUGGCAAGCUUGUUGUGUUACCACAAGGCUUGUAAUAAAGAUUGAUAUAAUAUUAUCCUGGUGCAUAAAAAAUGCUUACGGUAAUUUUGGAUGUACUACUUUGUUGUAUUGCCAUAAGGAUAGUUAUAUUCGAAUUUGACUGUAUUGAAAUGAAGGAUCUUACUUAACUAAAAUAUUAUA
RNAcentral lists this long non-coding RNA (336 nucleotides) under Elaeis guineensis (African oil palm). RNAcentral describes it as "long non-coding RNA (EGUI_LNC024095)". The record is from RNAcentral. Lineage: Eukaryota; Viridiplantae; Streptophyta; Magnoliopsida; Arecales; Arecaceae.